CGGCUCAGUAACACGUGGAUAACCUACCCUCAGAUCUGGGAUAACUCCGGGAAACUGGAGAUAAUACCGGAUAAUCCGUGAACGCUGGAAUGCCUUACGGUUGAAAGCUUUAGCGUCUGAGGAUGGGUCUGCGGCCGAUUAGGUAGUUGCUGGGGUAACGUCCCAACAAGCCGAUAAUCGGUACGGGUUGUGAGAGCAAGAGCCCGGAGAUGGAUUCUGAGACACGAAUCCAGGUCCUACGGGGCGCAGCAGGCGCGAAAACUUUACACUGCGCGAAAGCGCGAUAAGGGGACCUCGAGUGCGUGCGCAAAGCGUACGCUUUUCAGAUGCCUAAAAAGCAUCUGGAAUAAGGGCCGGGCAAGACCGGUGCCAGCCGCCGCGGUAACACCGGCGGCUCAAGUGGUGGCCGCUAUUAUUGGGCUUAAAGGGUCCGUAGCCGGACCAGUUAGUCCCUUGGGAAAUCUUACGGCUUAACCGUAAGGCUGCCAAUGGAUACUGCUGGUCUUGGGACCGGGAGAGGCAAGAGGUACCUCAGGGGUAGGAGUAAAAUCCUGUAAUCCUUGAGGGACCGCCAGUGGCGAAGGCGUCUUGCUAGAACGGGUCCGACGGUGAGGGACGAAAGCUAGGGGCACGAACCGGAUUAGAUACCCGGGUAGUCCUAGCUGUAAACGAUGCGAG
RNAcentral lists this ribosomal RNA (678 nucleotides) under uncultured euryarchaeote. Its description in RNAcentral is "bacterial SSU rRNA". It matches the Rfam family "Archaeal small subunit ribosomal RNA", at positions 83 to 766 of the family's 1478-position model. The record is from RNAcentral. Lineage: Archaea; Methanobacteriati; Methanobacteriota.